This 492-nucleotide ribosomal RNA is filed under the name uncultured bacterium. RNAcentral describes it as "partial 16S ribosomal RNA". It matches the Rfam family "Bacterial small subunit ribosomal RNA", at positions 29 to 507 of the family's 1533-position model. The record is from RNAcentral.
AGUGAACGCUGGCGGUAGGCCUAACACAUGCAAGUCGAACGGCAGCACGGUAAGAGCUUGCUCUUACGGGUGGCGAGUGGCGGACGGGUGAGGAAUACAUCGGAAUCUACUUUUUCGUGGGGGAUAACGUAGGGAAACUUACGCUAAUACCGCAUACGACCUACGGGUGAAAGCAGGGGAUCUUCGGACCUUGCGCGAUUGAAUGAGCCGAUGUCGGAUUAGCUAGUUGGCGGGGUAAAGGCCCACCAAGGCGACGAUCCGUAGCUGGUCUGAGAGGAUGAUCAGCCACACUGGAACUGAGACACGGUCCAGACUCCUACGGGAGGCAGCAGUGGGGAAUAUUGGACAAUGGGCGUAAGCCUGAUCCAGCCAUACCGCGUGGGUGAAGAAGGCCUUCGGGUUGUAAAGCCCUUUUGUUGGGAAAGAAAAGCAGCAGGUUAAUACCCCGCUGUUCUGACGGUACCCAAAGAAUAAGCACCGGCUAACUCCGUG